This 1779-nucleotide ribosomal RNA is filed under the name Triticum aestivum (bread wheat). RNAcentral describes it as "partial small subunit ribosomal RNA". Lineage: Eukaryota; Viridiplantae; Streptophyta; Magnoliopsida; Poales; Poaceae. The record is from RNAcentral.
AUGCUUGCAGUUCUUCUUCAUCAAGGAUUGGCAUUUCGUGGGCAUGAUGAAAGUGAACAAUCUAGCAACAGGGGAAACUUCAUUGAGCUAUUGAAGUGGCUUGCAACGAAUAGUGAGGAGGUGAAUAAGUAUGUCUUGAAGAAUGCACCAGGUAAUUGCAAAUUGACUUCUCACCAGAUACAAAAUCAGAUUAUUCAAUGUUGUGCAGUACAUACUAGAAAUCAAAUUAUUGAACAAGUUGGUGAUGAUCAUUAUGCUAUUCUAGCUGAUGAGUCUAGUGAUGUAUCACAUAAAGAACAACUAGCUCUAUGUUUGCGUUUUGUUGAUAAAGUAGGAAGGCUAAGUGAGCACUUUCUUGGAGUUGUUCAUGUAAGUGACACCACUGCAUUGUCACUUAAGGAAGCAAUUCAAACUUUACUUGCCAAUCAUGGUUUCACUAUAACUCAAAUUCGUGGGCAAGGUUGUGAUGGGGCUAGCAACAUGAGAGGAGAAAUUAAAGGACUGAAAACAUUGAUCAUGAAAGAGUCACCUUCUGCCUAUUACAUCCAUUGUUUUGCACAUCAACUCCAACUAGUUCUUGUUGCUGUUGCCAAGGGAAAUGAUGACUGUGUAUGGUUUUUUGAUCGAGUGUCUUUAUUGUUGAACAUUAUUGGAGUUUCUUGUAAGCGUCAUGACAUGCUUAGAGAUGCUAGACUUCAUAAUAUCAUGAAACUACUUGAAUGUGGUGAGUUACAAACUGGGAGUGGUCUGAAUCAAGAGAUGGGGUUACCUAGGCCUGCUGAUACUAGGUGGGGCUCUCAUUACAAAACUGUUCUCAACAUUAUUGCUAUGUACCCCACAAUUCGUGAUGUAAUCAUCACUCUUGGACAAGAUGCAUCACAAAGGAGUGAUUGGCCAAAAAUCCAUACUAUUGUUGGAGUGUUCGAGUCAUUUGACUUUAUUUUCAAUGCCCACUUGAUGCUUGUCAUUCUUGGAUACACAAGUGAUUUGUCUGAUUGUUUGCAAAGAAGAGACCAAGACAUUCUUUCUGCAAUGGCAAUGGUUAGAUUGGCAAAAGAUAGAAUACAAGAACUGAGGUCUAAUGGGUGGGAUGCAUUUCUUCAAAGAGUCACAUUAUUUUGUAACAAGCAUAGCAUUCAAGUUCCUACAAUGGAGGAUAAUUAUGUGCCUUAUGGAAGAUCAACACGGUUUGUUCGACCCCAAACAAAUGAUGAUCACUUUAGAAGAGAAGUAUUUCUUGGAGUAAUUGAUCAAAUUAGUCAAGAGCUUGAAAAUCGGUUUGACGAGAUCAAUAUGGAGUUGCUAUCUUGUAUGUCUGCUUUGAAUCCUGCCAACUCAUUUGCUGCUUUUGAUGCACACAAGGUACGCAAACUUGCUGAGUUCUAUCCAGAAGACUUUUCAAGUGCUGACUUGAUACACCUUGAACUACAACUUGGUAACUAUAUUGGUGACAUGAGAAAAGAUGAGAACUUUCAACAAGGCCUUGGAAAUCUUGUUGAUCUCUCAGUUAAGCUUGUUCAAACAGGGAGGCAUAUAGUUGAUAAUUUCGUGUACUUGCUUCUAAAAUUGGUAUUGAUUCUACCAGUGGCAACGACAAAUGUUGAGAGAGCAUUUUCUGCCAUGAGUUUAGUCAAAAACAAGUUGAGAAAUAAGAUGGGUGGUAGUCUUUUGGAUGAUUGCCUGGUCACAUACAUUGAGCGGGAUAUUUUCUCUAAGGUGAAUGAAGAUGACAUAAUUGAUACUUUCAUGGUCAUGCAGAAGUGUAGGCCGGAAACAUAG